AGGCAGCAGUGGGGAAUUUUGGACAAUGGGCGCAAGCCUGAUCCAGCCAUUCCGCGUGAGUGAAGAAGGCCUUCGGGUUGUAAAGCUCUUUCGCAAGGGAAGAAACGAUGGUGAUGAAUAAUCACUGUUAAUGACGGUACCUUGAUAAGAAGCACCGGCUAACUACGUGCCAGCAGCCGCGGUAAUACGUAGGGUGCGAGCGUUAAUCGGAAUUACUGGGCGUAAAGCGUGCGCAGGCGGCUUUGUAAGUCAGAUGUGAAAUCCCCGAGCUCAACUUGGGAACUGCGUUUGAAACUACAAGGCUAGAAUAUGUCAGAGGGGGGUAGAAUUCCACGUGUAGCAGUGAAAUGCGUAGAGAUGUGGAGGAAUACCAAUGGCGAAGGCAGCCCCCUGGGAUAAUAUUGACGCUCAUGCACGAAAGCGUGGGGAGCAAACAGGAUUAGAUACCCUGGUAGUCCACGCCCUAAACGAUGUCUACUAGUUGUUGGUGGAGUAAAAUCCAUGAGUAACGC
This 512-nucleotide ribosomal RNA is filed under the name uncultured beta proteobacterium. RNAcentral describes it as "bacterial SSU rRNA". It matches the Rfam family "Bacterial small subunit ribosomal RNA", at positions 346 to 849 of the family's 1533-position model. Lineage: Bacteria; Pseudomonadati; Pseudomonadota; Betaproteobacteria. The record is from RNAcentral.